CGAUAUUGUUAAAACCCACACUCAAACGCCUCUUGGCAAACGCAUUGUAACUCAUUGAGGCGAGGGGUUUUUUUUUUGUACUUAAAUUCAGCGUUGGUUCAAAUAAACGCAUCUCCGCUCUAGAGAGCGAUUGCCCUUUUAAGAUUUCAUGGUGGCGGCUGCGGGUUCCUGGUACUGCAGGGAGGCGAGAGGCGAGACAUACGCUGCAGCUGUGCGCGUUAGCUCGUCCGCACAGGAAACCAGUGGUCAGAGCUUUUCCAAGGCGCCGCCGACUGAAUGGGGCGGCUGGUCACCUCUUGUGGCGCAUUCCUUAUCGCUAAAUCGGCAGUAAACUCUCCCUCCCACACACACAAAGAUAAGUCAGACCAGACCCGGGGGGUGCAGAGAAAGAAAAGACCUUUGUUUGUGAAAGAGACUUAGAAACGUCCUUAUGUUACUUUCCCAUUUUUUUUAACCUGCUCCUAUGAGGUUAGGUGUUCUCACUGACACACUUGUGUGGUGGGGAAAACAGAGAGAGAGAGAAAAAAUUUCAUGAACAACCCCGAUUUAUGAAUCUUGUGUCUCAACAGGACUUCUGUACAAACUCAAUUUAACAGAAACUAGAAAAAAAAAACCCUGCAAUCCAUUUCGUCGCUUCGAAUCGACUUUCUGGGCGGACAGAAUGGACAUUGCAGUCCCUUGAUGUUUUGGAAUCAAA
Non-coding RNA from Chiloscyllium plagiosum (whitespotted bambooshark), 697 nucleotides. The record is from RefSeq and is a predicted model, not a curated record. NCBI's taxonomy places the organism in Eukaryota, Metazoa, Chordata, Chondrichthyes, Orectolobiformes, Hemiscylliidae.